This 6176-nucleotide long non-coding RNA is filed under the name Sus scrofa (pig). RNAcentral's name for it is "lncRNA (ENSSSCG00060002735.1)". The record is from RNAcentral. Lineage: Eukaryota; Metazoa; Chordata; Mammalia; Artiodactyla; Suidae.
CUGGGCAAAGGACUUGAACACACAUUUCUCCUAAGAAGACAUGCAGAUGUUCAAUAAGCACAUGAAAAGAUACUUAAUAUCACUAAGCUUUAGGAAAAUACAAAUCAAACUACAGUGAACUACUACUUCCACUCAUUAGAGCUUUUCAUUUAAAAGAGGGGGAAAAAAAGAAAAUAACCAUUGCUGGUGAGGCUGUGGAAUUAUGGGAUCCUAUGCCAUGUUGAUGGGAAUGUAAAAAUGAUGCAGCAGCCAUGGAGAAUAGUAUGGUGAUUCCUCAAAAAAUUAAAUAUAGAAUUAUCAUAUAAUCCAGCAAUUCCACUUCUGGAAAUACACCCUAAAGCUGGGAAAGCAGGAAUUCAAAGAGAUAGUUAUAUAUCCGUAUCCCCGGCAGCAUGAUUCACAAUUGCCCAAAGGUAGAAGCAACCCAGUAUCCAUCAGGGGAUGAAGGGAUAUAUGAAUUUGGUCUGUCUACACAGUGGAGUAUCACUCAGCCUUCGGGAGGAAGGAAUUUGCACAUACUAACUACAGCGUGGGCGAAGCCUGGGCGUGAUGUCAAGUGAGAUAAGCAAGUUGCAAGAGGACACAUACUGUGUGGCUCCACUUAUGUAAUGUUCCUGGAGUAGCUGAGUCCACAGAGAUAGCAAGCAGAAUGGUGGUUUCCAGGGCUCGGGAGAAAAGAAUGGGGAAGUAGUUUUUAAUGGGCACGGGGUUUCACUUUGAGAAGUUGAAAGGAGUGUUGGAGACGGAUGGUGGCAAUGUCUGCAAAACAGUAUCAAUGUACUUAAUGCCACAGAACCCAACACUUUAAAGCGGUUAAAAUGAUAACAUUUUAUUAUGCGUAUGUAUCACAAUUGCAACAUUUCGUAAAAACCGAGAAUAGCUAUUGAAGAGAAAAAAGUUGCGUUCACAGAUACUCCAUUUCACUAAAACAUGCAAAACCAUCUCGAGUGCCUUCUCUGACUCUUCCUCAUUCUCUUUGUCUUCACCCAUCUCCUUCCUUCCAAAGGCAGAGGAAGAGCGCUGUCCUCUCUCCUCCAAUGAGGCAUAACCCUUAUUCCUUCAUCCAGUGCCUCGCACCGUGGUCAGGCCCGGUGCCCUGGUUGUCUUGUCCCUAAACGUGGGUCCCUGUCACCAUCAGCUGCUUCUUCCCUUUCUAAAGCUGAGCUCCAGGGGCUCCACUGGCCUGAGGAAAGUCUCGGCAUGCUCUCCAUGUGGGCCCCUCUCCUGUCUCUUCCACACGGCAGCUCCCUGCCCGGAACGCGGCUCAAACUCUUCACGGGUCAUUGAUGUCUCCAAAUCCAGGAUCUUCUUCUCAGACCUAAUCCUCUGAGACCUGCUCACAGCAGAUGCUAGCAUUGCUUCCACCCUCUCAUAGAAGGUCAGGGGCUCCCUCGACGUCAGAUCCUGCGCAUCAGAACCCACCCCUGGGUGUCCCCUGGCUCGCAUUCCAUGCCCGAAGCACCCUCUCUCCCUGCCUGAACCUGCAGUGUGCAUGAGCUCCUUCAGAAAAUAAAAGGAAGGGGCUGCCCUUAAGCAACUGUACUGUGAAUGUCGCAGACCAGAGCAGUUGGGAAUCAUCAUAAAUCGUAUGGGUGUGGGGAUUCACAUGCCAGGCCUCGGGGCUCCACUGUCUGAAGGACUCCCUGACCCUCGGUAAGUGCAGGCUACAGGGCUGGCACCUGGGCUCCUGGGGCUGGUCUGUCCCGACUGAGAACGACGCGGUGGCCUUUCUGUCAGGACUCUGCCAUGGCCAUGGUUUGUCUUCAGUGUGUGACGUUGCUGCGUGGUCUAGGCUCUAUGCAGAGGCCUGCCGUGGGCAGCUCGCCUCCCAGGGAUGGCAGAAGAAGGGGACAACUGACCGCUCCCGUGGGACAGGGGCAGGUCAGGGCCCGCACUUGGCUGCAGUAACUUGAGUGGUUCCACAGCAGAGGCCAUGGAGGCUGGGAUUUAGGUUCGAGCCCCAUGCUUUUCCAAACUGCUGAGCCCAGCUCCCAGAGGAGGAAGCGCCCCACCCUGGUCUUGGAGCUGCUGCUCAUCCUCCGCUUUGUGUCCGGCAGCUUUACGCCGUCCUCUCGCCUGGGCCUUGACCCGUCUGACUGGCCUUCCACACCGCCGCCCUCCCACUCUGAAGGGGGCCUAGUGUGCGUGUGCACAUGUGCACAAGCGUGUGCCCUUUCCGCCUCUCCCCGUCUUCUCCCCUUCGCCCCCUGGACUCUGUGAUUCCUGCACACGUCCUUCUGCCGGAGCACGCGGUCUUCUCGCGGCCCCAGAACACAGCGUUCCUGGGCUCUGCCGAAGGGCGGCUCGCUGGAGGGAAGAAGGGCUGGGCUUUGAAAUGGGUUUGGCACACGUGCAGCUUCUGUUGGCCGAUUUUCAGUGUUGUAUCCAGCAUAUGGCUUAGGACUAAUGUUUUUCAUCUUAUUUGUCCACAGUCAGCUGCCAGCUUUUGCAGCUGGGGGCCCCACCACGGCCCCUGGCCCACGUGUAGCCCAGGGCCCCUGCCAAGGGCCCGGCUUGCUGGUCCAGCCCCAGGGCUCCCAGUUCACACAGGUCUGCUCAUCAGAGCUUUUCAAGGAAGACCAGUCGCCCCUGGGUGUUGCUGGCCUGCCCGAGGGGCUGGGCAUGCACAGAAGGGCCAACACACACUUCCUCUGUGCCCGUCACUUUGACUGUGGAACGGUCACUCCGACAGCCCUAGAUCUGGGGCUGAGUCCAAGUGGGCAGAGCAGACUCCUGUUUCAUUAGUGCGUGAAUUCAUGGAUUUCUCUCAAGGGUCUCAAGGGUCCCCUUUGUGAUUCAGUUCCUGUUUGCCCGGGUAUGACAACAGCCUGUUUGUUCCUGAAACUCCGUCCUGGACACUGUUCCAGUUCCAGGCAGGGAGAGUCCCGGUCAGCGCAGGGUGCCGCCCGCCGCACCUGUCCCGGCUCUUCUUGAGAAGUUGCACUUCCUACCGAGCUUGGAUGUCCUUCACCCACAGUCUUCACGGCGGAGGGGAAGCUGCUAUCCGUUCCCUCUAUUUACUUAUCUAUUUUUGUCUUUUUAGGGCCCCACCCAUGGCAUGUGGACGUUCCCAGGCAAGGGGUCAAAUAGGAGCUGCGGCCGCAAGUCUACACCACAGCCACAGCCACAUGGGAUCCAAGUCGUGUCUGCAACUUAACACCAUAGCUCACGGCAACUCCAGAUCCUUAACCCACUGAGCGAGGCUGGGGCUCGAACCCCCAGCCUCAUGGAUACUGGUCAGGCUUGUUACUGCUGAGCCUCGAUGGGAACUCCAUCCCUUUAUUUUAGAAAGAAGCUUUGGCUCUAGUCCUGCAGACACAGAUCAUUAGCGUGUCCUGAAACUUUAAAGGACUAUGCAUGAUCCGCCACACAGAGCUAGAGGCUGGAGAGCUCAGGAGAGACAAACUGCGGCCACCCCCGCCUCCGGCCCCCCUGCCUGGGGACUCCUGGCACUUCUCGGGCUCUAGGCAGAUUGGGGGCAGCCGGGAGGAGACAGGAUUCAUAGCCUCCGUCAAGGAUGUGAUGAACGUGCCAGACACGAGGCCUGGGACGCGACUGAUCCAGGGCCACUGGGGAAAUGUCAACACUAACACGGCACCCGACUCCAGCAUCUGCUCCAUUUGGGGCUUUUGUUUCCGCACAACUCUGAUUACUUGAAACGUUAGGCUGAUGGUUUCACCGUAUAUACGUAGAUCACAAUUUUCCAAGUGCUCUGUUCAAAUAUGGGCCGCUUCGGAGUCGAUUAAACUUUCGUUAAGCUGUUUUAAAAUAAGUCAUAGUCUUAUGGGACAUUUUAAUCCAAAAUAUUUAUUGCAUGUCGAAAGCCAUCCUCUCACCAAUAAAACAUUCCAGAAUCUAUACACAGGACUUAGGAAUUACUUACGAACGAUUGUCACCUGAUUUUUCACUUCAGACCUCUGUGACCCCGGCUUUCUCGUUCGUUAUGUAUACAUGAAGGGUAAGAACGCAGCCCAGAGGCCCAGGAACACCAGUUUAUAGUUACACGCACCCAAACGUACCUGGGAGUCUGCUUUCCCGCACUCCCUGCCCUGCUGUCGACGGCAGGCAGAGGACCGGAUGCGGCAUUUGAAAGGCCUGAUGUCCGGCGCGCUUCUGGUCUGGUUUGCUCUGACGAGCUUGGUCCUCACCCGCCCUCCGCUCCGCUCCUCCGUCCUUGCCUUUUUCCCGACACGCACGGCGCCCAGCUUUUCUGCCAGUGAUGUUCAGGGGUCCCGGCCCAAGAAUCCUUCUUAAUGAGAGCAGACUCCUGGGCCCCUAUGAAAAGAGGCUAGGGUGAGCCCCACACCCCCACUUGACAUUUCUGAUUUAACCCAUGUCACCUCUGACCUCAGCACACUGCCAUUUCUCCCAGUGAGAACAAGGACGCUCUCAGAGUUCCCACUGUGGCUCAGAGAGUUAGGAACCUGACAGAGUCUCUGUGAGGAUGCGGGUUCAAUCCCUGGCCUUGCUUAGUAGGUUAAGGAUCUGAUAUUGUCACAAACUGUGCUGUAGGUCACGGAUGCAGCCCAGAUUUGGCGUUUGCUAUGGCUGUGGUGUAGGCUGGCAGCUGCUGUUCUGAUUUGUUGCCUGGCCUGGGAGCCUCCAUGUGACUCAGGUAAGUAUGGUAAGAAAGAAAAGAAAAGAACAAUACCCGCUCGAUGCGUGGCCAGUCACUGGAGGAUUUUCCCACCUGUGCCGCACUCUGGCCACAUCAGCCUUUCUCUGCUCCGUGAACUCACAUCUCGGUGCUUUGGGGGCAGGAGGUGUGCUAGGAAGGUGUAGUUUAUCCAGAUCUGGACACAAAGGGCACUCUUGAUUUGCUCUUUCGUGGUUUUAUUGCAACACUGGGCCCCUGAGGGCGUGGAUGUCAAAAAGUAAUCUCGGAAAUUCCUGUCAUGGCUCAGCGGUUAAUGAACCCGACUAGUAUCCAUGAGGAUGCGGGUUCAAUCCUUGGCCUUGCUCGGUGGGUUAAAGAUCCGGCAUUGCUGUGAGCUGUGGUGUGGGUCACAGAUGUGGCUGAGAUCCCACGUGGCUGUGGUGUACACCCGUGGCUGCAGCUCCUAUUCAGCCCUUAGCCUGGGAACUUCCAUAUGCUGUGAGUGUAGCCCUAAAAAGGCAAAAAAUAAAAAGUAAAAAAAAAAGUCAUCUCAAGCCUGGUUAACCAGGACAGCAUUCACAGGCACAGCUCUUUCCUUUGGAUAUAGCCAGGGCCAUGGGCAAUUGCCACUGGAUCAGAAAGCCUUUCAGAUUGCAAAUGCGAGAGAUGAAUCCACACGUUCUUAUUUGUUUUCAAGAAAAUGUAAAAAACUUGUUAUUAUUUAAAAUCACAUUUACUGCAACAGGUUACUUUCAAUAGCAGAAGAGCUGUAGUUGCAAACUGACUCAAGCCUCUUUGAUGUUUUUUGAAACCCACAGGCUCUUAGUGGAAGAGGCCCCGGUGGUUAGAGCUGGGUGAAGGGUACAGGGCACUUUCCUGUCUCCCUGCUCCCUGGGUACCCCAUGGGUGCAGUGAGGCACAGACAGGCCUUUGUUCAGCAGCGCGCACACAGACACACAUGCUGGCCCAAAAACACUGAAAGACGAAUUGUCUGCCUGUGAUUAGAGACCACCAGGAGUGAGGGCACUGCUCACUGUCCUUUUAGGCAUUCUGCUCUGGCCUCUCAUGAGACGGUCCCUCAGGAAAAGUCGGUGCUGUUCUAGCAGCAGCAUCCAGCUCACCUUUGAGUCCCACCAGAUAUGAGGCCCCUCCACAUGCAGCUUCCAGACCUGGAAAGAACUGCUAGUGUCUUUUACCUGCUUUGUAGCAACAUUCAGAGGCCAGGAUUUUCUAACCAGUUCAUUCUUCUUAAAUUCCAUUCAUUUCACCCCUGAAAGACCGUUUCUAUACCCAUUAUUCUGAUUACAAACCCUCUAGUGUGACCAGCAAUAAAGACAGUUGAAUCUAGGAGUUCCCUUCAGGGCUCAGUGGUUAACGAACCUGAGUAGGAUCCAUGAGGAUUCAGGUUCGAUCCCUGUCCUCGCUCGUGGGUUAAGGAUCUGGCAUUGUGAGCUGUGGUGUAGGUCGCAGACACGGCUCGGAUCCCACGUUGCUGUGGCUCUGGUGUAGGCUGGCAGCUGUAGCUCCGAUUAGACACCUAGCCUGGGAACUUCCAUAUGCUGUGGGUGCAGCUCUAAAA